RNAcentral lists this long non-coding RNA (4661 nucleotides) under Malus domestica (apple). RNAcentral's name for it is "long non-coding RNA (MDOM_LNC007518)". Lineage: Eukaryota; Viridiplantae; Streptophyta; Magnoliopsida; Rosales; Rosaceae. The record is from RNAcentral.
ACUGACGCGGGGAGUGAGGAGUGCGCAGGGUGCGCAGAAAAAGAAAGAAGGGGGACUGACAAGAGGAGGUCAGAGAAGAAAAGGCUGCCCUUGCAGCCUUGAAAAACAGAAAGCUUGCGCGGAGCAGUGAGGAGAGAGCAGCACGGACUGGGAGGAGGACAGAGAGCAAACGGAGAGCAGAAAAACAAGAAGAAGAAAAAUAGAGAGCUCACGCCACUGCUUGGCAAGGGAAAGAGGAAACCUCUGCACUCUCUUAUUUCGGUUCUAUUUUCCUAAACUCAUGUUUAACUUUUGGUUUAAUUUGAGAAUAAUGUGUAACUAAUUUUAUUUUGGCUAGAGGUUAAUUCAAAGCUAUGAAUAUAUUUGUAAUAUGAAUUGAUUACCUUCAGUUGUGAUUUCUGAGUUGUGAUUUAAUUUGCUUAACUGCUUGAUUGAUAACUUAUUUGUGUAUGUCGAUUAAGAAUGCAUACUUAAUUUACAUGCAUGAAUUUGAUGCUAGAAUAUAAGUGAAUUUCACCUAAUCGUUAUGAACUUAUAUUCACAAGUAGUGAAGGUUGUUAUCCACAAUCGUGUUAAGUGAGUUCUAGGCUGGAUUAACAUGCGUGUUCCAUAGUUAUGAAUGCCUAGUCAAUGUUUAUGAUUUCCGUUGAACUUAAUGAUCUUUGUUGAAUGUCUCUAUCAUGCGUAUUCCAUAGUUAGGGACUUUGAUGAGGAAUAAUUUGGUUGUAAUGCGUAUUCCAUUCAAUCCAAUGAAUUUAGGGAAAUCUAAGAGUUAAUUUAAGCGGACCUAAUUAACUUGGAACAUUGUCAUUCACAAUUUAUUGAAAGAACAACUGAAAAUCAAUUUAGGUUGCAUAUGUGUUAUGUGUGGAGAAGAACCCUCUAGCUAAUCCGUCACCUAUCCUUUCACCUUAAUUCAUGCUUUUGUCAAUUCUUUAAUUUAUUUAAGUUUAAUUUACUUCUCGUCAAAACCAAACCCCACCCCCAUUAUUAAAUUAUAUUAUUUAGUUAGUUUUCAUUGUUGUUAGUCUUUUAAUUCAAUUUCCGUCCAUUUCAGUUCCUAGUGUCUAAUUUGAUUGUUUUCAUUAUUUUGAGUCAUUCUAAGUAUGUUUCGAGUUAUUAGAGUUUUUAGCCUAGUUUUGUGUCCUUGAGUCUUGUUUAAUAUUUUUAAAUUAAUUUAGAAUAGAUAAGCAAUCCCUCCUAAUCCCCGGCCUAAAACGAUACCCUACUUACAUCUAUACUACAAUUGUCAAAAAGAGGGUUUAAUUUGUGUGUGAAGUAAUUUUCACAUCAAAUUUUGGCGCCGUUGCCGGGGAUUAGCAACUUUGCUAAUCCCUUUAUUUUUGUUUUUGUUUAUGUUUAUUUUGGUGUUUGUGUAUUUUACUUUUGAUAUUUGAUUUAUUUUUCUUUCUUUGAUUUUAGGUACAAAUGGAGCAAGACAUGGCACUUGCGACAAUUCAAGCUCAAUUGGCACAGCUCACUGCUCAAUUGACUCAUAAUGCCGAACGGACCACAAUGCCAAGUGUCCCUACAUUUGAUGUGCCCUAUGGGCAAGGAUAUCAAAGUCCUCAAUUUUCUGCAAAUGAAGAUGUUUGGGGAUAUCAAGGCCAUAACCAAUCAAGGGGCAACAUGUUUUCCAACGCUUGCAAUUCAGAUUGGAGAGGUAAUUCAGAUUAUAUGUGGGAUGAACCUCAACAAUUUCAACAAGGUGGAUAUUGGCAGCAAGACGAGUUCAAUUCAAGACCUAUACAGCCACCACAGUAUCCCCCACAACAAUUCCAAUCAAAUCAAAGUAUGCCCGUGAAUUAUAAUGAAAUUCUUUAAGGACUAAUUUCUUUGGCGCAGGGUUCACAAAAAGAAGAACAAUUGCCGCCAUCGGAAGAGUUCUAUCAGUGGCCAUAUGAACCGUCACAGCCACCACAACAAUCAACCCAAUUCAAUUCAGGUACGUCUUUGGAUGAUGAUAUGUUUAAUAAGUUACUCACCUCUUUGAAUCAGGGAGUAGAAAAUCAAAAACAGGAGAUGCAAGACCGAGUCAAAAGAGUGGACGAAUUGGAGAUGCAAGUUGGGCAGAUUGUGGAAUUCAUGGCACAGAUUCGAGAUCAAAGUGAACUUUCCAACUCAAACAUUGCAAAUUCAAAGGCAGAAAGUGAAAUCGAUGAAGCCAUCACUUUGGAAGGUGACAUGAAGGAUGAAGCUGUCCCAGAACCAUCCAAACACAGCCCGAACAUGGAUGAAUUGCUGCUGCAAGCAGAAGAGGAGGAGGACGACCUGGGCAGUUUAGAAGAAUUCUUGCUGUAAGCUCCUCAAAUCCCUAUGUCAUCCAACUCAGGUGAGGAAGUUCUAAAUUCACUUCAUUCUAACAUUAUUCCACCGAAUGUCCUUUGUCCUUGCAGGUUUUUGAUUCCAAAUAUCAAAGAGAGUGAAAAAGACAUUGUGGAAGCUCUUCCAAAAGUGCAAAGUGAUAUCCCAAUUCUUGGUGCACCAAAACAAGUUCCCGAUGGUAUUGAAACGUUCAAAGAACCUUGCACACCAAGAAAAGGGAUUCAAGAGAAUGAAGUGGUUGAAGCAUAUCAAGAGUACAUCCAAGAGGCUGUGCAUGAGACAAUCAAGCCCAAAGCAGUUGAGUUUGAUGACACGGGACAAGCCACAACCAUCAUAGUAAACCUGGCCAAGUUCAAAGUCCCGGAAAUGUUCAAAAAUGUGGUGUUUGUCAUUGAGUUUGUGUCGGAAAAAGAAAGUAAGCCAUCUUCUCCAAUUUUAAUUUUAAUUUAUACUAACAUGUUUCUGAUUUUGAUGAUUCAGGCACCCACUCUUGAAUUUAAACCAUUGCCGAAUCAUUUCAAGUAUCACCUCCCAUUAAAAGAUAAAUUCCAUGCUUUGGAGCCGAGUGGAGUUUAAAGGAAAGAUUCGUCCGGCUAAAGACGUUAAAUCAAGCGCUUCUUGGGAGGCAACCCAAGCAUUCAACGAAGGGAGACUUUGGAAUCGCUAACCAAAUCAGAUUUGCAUUCUUACACCCUUAUCUUUACUGCUUUCAUUUUGUUUUGUUCAGUUAGUUGUGUUAUUUGGUUGAUUUCUGUGAGUUUGUGUUAUUUAGUUUAAGUGUGGGGGAAGGUUAAACAAAGUCUUUUUACAUUGAUUUACAUAUUUUACAUUGAUUUUAAAAAAAAAAACAUAAAAGUAAAAAUAUUUUACAAUGAUAUGUAAACUAAUAAGCAUUCAUUGGUCAGGUGGUGCUUCAGUAGUCGGUGGAGCUUCAGCAGUCGGCGGGGCCACGGAAGGAGGAGGUAUCGGAGGUUGAUCAGUUGGAGCUUCACUACGCGGUGCUGCCCCAGAAGACGAAGGCAGAUGCGAUUGGAACAAACCCACAAACCUCCGGUGAUCAAGUAAAAUCUGACCAUCAGUUUCCUGCAGCUGGUCAAUUUUCCUCUUCAUGUUUGUGGCAUAAUUGUGUGCAAGCUUUUGCAAUUGUUUAGUUUCAUGCUUGAGUCCUCUAAUCUCCUCUUUGAGACUCUGUAUUUCAACCACCAACGAUUCAACGUGACGGGUUCGAGCAAAUAGGCGUUGGGCCAUGUUGGACACAGAACCCGCACACUGCACGCUAAGAGCCAGAGACUCCUUAACCGCCAAUUCAUCAGACCGUCUAGCGAGCAGUCUGUUAUCUCUGGGGGUGACAAGGUUCCGGGCCACCACCGCAGCGGUCAUGUCAUUUUCAUCACCGAAUCCCCCACGGUAAGGGGACCGGUAGGGGAUAUGAAGGAUGGGCGCCAUAUGUUGUCUAGUGAAGGCGGAGCUGCCUAUUCACCAAUGUUCAAGUCAAAACGACGAUCGGAAGGGCCAGACAUUUUUCAGAAUGGUAAAGAAAAAAGAGAUCGGACAGAUUAAGAUUUUGGAAGUGCAAGAAGGGAGUGUUUACAGGAGGGAGCUCAGCUUUUAAAUAAAAUUAAUAAAAGAAAUAAUAAUGAUAAAUCAUGAUGAUGUUUGAAACAUCAUCAUGAUUCAUGUUUCAUGGCAGACUGUAAAGGAAAGGUGUGGAUGGCAUGGAAUGAGUGGAGAAACAAAAGAAUAAAAUUGAAAAAUAGAAGUGGAUGAGGAAAGGAAUACACGGGGGGGGGGGGGGGGGGAAACAGAAUAAGAAAAUAAAAAAGGACGGGAGACAGAGAAGAGGGGGAGAAGUAGGAAAAUGGAGCAGAAAAAGAGAGGAAGGAGGGAGAGCGCGCGGGACUGACGCGGGGAGUGAGGAGUGCGCAGGGUGCGCAGAAAAAGAAAGAAGGGGGACUGACAAGAGGAGGUCAGAGAAGAAAAGGCUGCCCUUGCAGCCUUGAAAAACAGAAAGCUUGCGCGGAGCAGUGAGGAGAGAGCAGCACGGACUGGGAGGAGGACAGAGAGCAAACGGAGAGCAGAAAAACAAGAAGAAGAAAAAUAGAGAGCUCACGCCACUGCUUGGCAAGGGAAAGAGGAAACCUCUGCACUCUCUUAUUUCGGUUUUAUUUUCCUAAACUCAUGUUUAACUUUUGGUUUAAUUUGAGAAUAAUGUGUAACUAAUUUUAUUUUGGCUAGAGGUUAAUUCAAAGCCAUGAAUAUAUUUGUAAUAUGAAUUGAUUACCUUCAGUUGUGAUUUCUGAGUUGUGAUUUAAUUUGCUUAACUGCUUGAUUGAUAA